Marmota monax (woodchuck) is the source of this 5989-nucleotide long non-coding RNA. RefSeq lists it as uncharacterized. NCBI's taxonomy places the organism in Eukaryota, Metazoa, Chordata, Mammalia, Rodentia, Sciuridae. The transcript has 3 exons. The record is from RefSeq and is a predicted model, not a curated record.
CUGACCAUGACUCAGUUUCCUCAUCUAUAGAGGGGGGGAUAUACCCAUCACAUUGAGUUACCAUGAAGAGUUGAAGAAACCAUAUCCAUGAGCAUGGGCCAGAAACACAGUGGUAGGUGGUGCUACUAAAACAAAUGUAUGCACACUUACUAUGCAGCAGCUACUGUCUUCAAUUCUUAAAAGGUACUGUAUUCCUCCCAAAAUUUGGACAUUCCUCAGAAAGUGCUGGAGCUGCUGUGUAAAAGGUGUGUAUUGCUUCCAAGCCCUGGCACAUGGCCAUCUCCUUCUUGGUGCUGGGAAUUCUGGGAACUCAGUCAGCUCUGGGGAAAGUAGUGUUUUCAGAGAAGCAGCCUGCCUGGAUGUUUAGAAAACCUUGUAGGAUGAGCCCAAAGAGUGUCUGCCUCAGGCCUGGUUCUGUGUAACUAUAGGCAGCCUAUAGCUCUGGCCUUACCCUGUGGGCAUAUCCCCUCCCUGUGAGAAAGUUCUCUGCCUCAGACCUCACUACUCUGAAGCUUCAGGAAAAACAAUUUCCACAUUUAGGAAGGAGUCUGUGGAUUGCAUCUGGGAGCAUUCCAACAUGCAUGUAGCCAGAAUAGGGACACUUGGGGAGAAACGAAUAGGGUCCUGGCCCUGAAUAGCUAGACAGUAGGUGGUUUGGCUCAGUCAUCACUCAAAUGUAUGUGUAGCACCACCAUGGGCCAUCAUUUGGCCUAUUAUUUAGGAAUCAAUGCAAAGAAACUUCUAGUCCUCCUGGAGUUCCAAUAUUGUCAGGAAGUUAGUCAAGCCCACCAGCCAUCUUGGCAGAUGAGGGGCACAGGAUGUUAGAGGUGUCAGCCUCCUCACCAUCUCUAGGUAUAGAUACCUGCAGCCAGAUGUUUGUGAGGAGUAGCUUUAAGGAAAGAAGGGAGUGGUCUUUGGGCCAGUCAGGAGGGCUCCUGUUUUAUGAAGAGCUGUUAUAAAUGAUGGCUGGGCAAACCCCAAUUUCCACCCUGUGUGAUUUCCAGCAGAGGACUCAACUCUGGGGUUUACCCUGUAGAAAGAACAUAUUGUGGUGCAUUUGAUUCUGGGCACCAAAGGAACAGUAGUGGUUGGGGCCUCAGAGCCAAGCCCUGUGUGGAUCCCUUUCCAACACAGCCAAUGCAAACCCAGGUUGCCCAUGCUUUUUUGUACAGAGACCGGAGAGCAAGUGUGGGGAGCCCCUUACCCACACAUGUACCUCAAAGGUUGCCCUUUUGAUCUGGUGCAUGGACUUGCCUGGCUACUCUUUGGGAACCCAUGAUGCAGGGACCUUGGGAGGUUCCAGUUAAAAGAGAGGCCCUGUCCAUCAUGACUCCCUGUUUCACUCCACAUUCCACAGCACCCUCACCUCCAUCAUCAAAAUGCAGCUGUACCUCUAUCCAGGAUAUUUUUGAGGACCCAAGACUUGGACAACCUGAAGCUUCUCAUGACCUUCCUGUUGAUGAUUAUGCCUGAAUCACAGGGGAACUUCCAUGUCCUUCCCCAGCUGAACAACACAGAUCCUAUCAUGGCUCACCAUCCUCUUAUUCUUCAAGACACAAUAUUGAAGUUAGAACCGUUAAUGACUCAGUAAUGGUCUGUACUGUUUAAAUAAAAAGAAGAGUCUUAUGUUUUUGCAUUUCAAAUAAAAAGCUGUGCAUCUUACACUACUUUGUCACACUGAGAAUGCAAAGGAAAUGUUCAAGAAGGAAAUUAAAGUGCUGCUCCAGGGCAUAUGUAAAUGACUAGAAAGCAAAAACAGCCUUAUUGCUGAUCUGGAAAAACUUUUUAUAUUCUGAAGAAAAGAAGAAACAACCCACGUUCUAUGAAGAUGAAGCCAAAUCCAGAUAAGGCCAUCAUUUUAGAUAGUUAUACUGACAAGAGAAGUGAGAAAGCUGCAGAAGAAGAAGUUAGAAAGUGCCAGAGUUUGGUCCAUUAUGUUUUUGGCAAGAGGCCCUGCUCCAUAAACUAAAAGUGCAAGGCAAAGAAACAAGUGCUGAUGUAGAAGCUCUUGCAAGUCAUCUAGAAGGUCUUGCUAAGCUAUUCGAUGAAGAUGUGUUGUGCUUUAGGUAGUAGGUGUCCCCAGAAGCUCAUGGGUGAGCCAAUACAAGGAUUAUCAGUGAAAUGAUUCAGUUCUGAGAGCUUUAACCCAAUCAAUGGUUUAUUCCCCCGACAGAUAUGAACAGGCAGCAGGCAUGGAAGGGCAUGUGCUGGACCCUUCCCAAGCCUGGAGGUAUAGGUGGCACCUGCAAAGGCAUCUAGUGGCUGUGAAAGAAGUCUGGUUUCUAGGACUGAAGCAUAUAGAAGCCAACCUCAGCGUUCCACAGCAGGGUUUCACAUUGGAGGUUCCCAGUGACCAGGAGCAGUGUCAGAAUCCUGUAGCAGGGGCAUCCAUCUGUGGGGAGAAUGUCAAACAGCGAGCCUAGGUGUCUUAAGGCAGUUUGAGGAGCCCAGAUGUAUCAGUGGCAGGAUGGAGAAUUGGCCUCAGGCUUGGAGGACAGCCAUGGGCAGGAGCCUGGGCAGUGAAGCCUUGGCGUUUGGAAUCUGUGGAGGUAUUGGUGUCUGAAGUUCAGUUAUGGCAGCGGUGGCAAAGGCAACCGAGGAGUCUAUAGGUGGCAGCGUCAAGCCAGGCAUCCAGAGAGUUGCGUUCUCAUCCUCUGGCAGUGGCAGGAGUCUGGUCCCAGUGCAGUGAUGGUGGCUUCGGCAUCACUGGUGGCCCUGUGGGGACUCCAGUGGCUGCAGUGUGGAGCUCUGUUAGCGGUGAUGGUGAAAGCUUGGGACAGCAGGCCUCAGAGUCAGAGGGCGACUGGAGGCUGUGAUGGCCUCUGCAGUGGCUCCUCCAGGCAACUGGUAUUGCUCCUGGUAGGGCCUGCCUGCUCAGGAAGCAGGGCGCAGGAGCUGGUGGUACCCAGACACCUGCUGAGGACCUUAUGCUGCCCAUUCCAGCAAUGCCUGGCAUUGGCCUUGAGUCCACCAGGCUGCUCACCUAAUCCUUGAGUUCACCCUGCCCCUCCCUGAGUUGCAGCCUCUGAGGGAUGAGUAGGCCUGCUGCCAGCUGGGGCAGCCUUGGGAGAAGACACCCACCCUCCCCAGCUACAUCUCCCCUGGGCUGUGGUAGCAGAGUGCAGAGGUGGGUGGUGGGAGGGCCUAACAAAUCCUCACCCUUCAAGUGCAUCCCUGGGGCGGGACAAGGGUGGAGGGCACAGGAGGCAGUGGGAGUCUAAGGGCAACGAGUUCUCUGUCUUGGUCUUCUGCCUCCCCCAGCCACAGAAAUGCACUUUGGGGGUGAGGAUGUCCUAGGACCUCUGCUUUCUGCACCCACUGUCCAUGCAGGAUGUGGCUGGGGAUGGUGAGGUUCUCUCCCAAGACUGCCCCAACUUAGCAGACAGCCUAGUUCCUCAGUAGAGAGGCUAUAUCAGGUGAUGGGCUGAGCAGACACACAGUGGGCUCAUGGCCAGAGCAAGACAUGGCAGCUGUGGGCAGCAUAAGGUCCUGGGCAGCUAACUGGGUACCACCGCCUCCCACGUGCUUCUUCCUGAGCAGGCCAGUUGACCAGGAGCAAGACCAAGGCCUGGAGCCUCCACCACAGAGGACAUCCCAGCUACUGGUUACCUUCUCACUCUGACACCCACUAUCCCAUGCCCUUGCUGCUGUGCCAGCCUGGAGCUCUUCGCUGCAGCCAACCAGACUCCCCACAUGGCCACUGGAUGCCACCUUCACUGCCCUGCAGCCGGACCCCAGUUACUUCUGCAGGAUGAAGAUGCUCACUGCUGGACACUGCCUGUUUUUGCUGCCCCUGCUUCUGAACUCUUGUGGUGCCACCACCAUUGUGCAGCACUCAAACUUCCAAACUCCAGAUGGACUCCAACACUGCCCACCAAGGCCCGAAUGUCAUUGCACUUUAUCCCACACCUGGUGCCCGACCCCUAUACUGAGGCUAGACCCCUGAUGCAGCUGCAUGUUGCUCCCGCCCCUGCCAGAAUCUGGAGCUCCACCCAGCUGCCACCAGACUUUAACAUGGAUACUAGACAGUGACACUCAGUACUGGGGCCAACUUCAUUGCAACUGCAGCCAGACCCUUGUCACUAUGGCAGAUGAAAACACUCAUGGCUGGAUGCAUCUGUUGUUACAACCACUGUUUCUGGAUUCUUCCACUGUCACCGCCGCCAUGAGUAGGAAGCAAGGAACUCCCAAAUCACAGCUGCAUGCCGACAACACCACAGUCACCCCCACCCCACGCCAAUUCUCAACACCUGACUUUUGAUGCCUGAUGCCCUAUGCCCAAAACAGCUGGAUGCUGCUCUUGCCACCAUAUGCCACCAUUUCAUGAUGGUGCCAUUGCAGUGAAUUGACCCCAAGGAUGCUUCUCUGCUCAAGAUGUAUAAGAGCUGGGAAACUCAUCAUUCUCCAUUACAGUCACCUCACCAAGUUCUACUGCAUGCCGCCUGCCUUUUGUCACCCCAGGACCGGCCACCAGUCCUCAGGACCCUUGAGGAGUUGUGGCUCUAACUCAGGGAACUCAUCCAAAUAAACAACUUUCCCUCCUUAAUUUGUACCACUUAAGCUGAGCAUCAGGAAGAAGGAAACACCAGAGAAACUCAAAGAUCUGAAGGACAUCAACCCUGCUCAAGUCACUCUGGAAGCUGACUAGCCUGAAUGUGCCCAAAGCUUGAGGAAACAUCAGCCCUGCUUCAGCCACUCUGGGUUGGAUGUACAAGGUGAAAGAUAUACUAACCAAAAGGAAAAUGGACUGUUUCACUCUUUAAGACAGCUCUUACACUGUCAUUGCCACCCCUUACUUCUGUCCUAUACAGAGUCCUUUGUUUUGUCUUGACUCUAGGACUGAUAACAAUCAAACACAUAGUUAAUAAUAUCAGAAAACAUACACAUGUACCAGUUCAAUCCUGAAAGGGCAUUGCAGUUGAGAUCCAAGCUCACUAUUUGGAGGAUGGUUUCCUUUUCUUGGUGGAUUCAAAAGCUUAAUUGACAUAGCAUGGAUUAUGCUAUGAACUUGUUUAUUGCUUCCAUGUUUGUUUCCUCUUUACAUUAAAACUAGUGGUUCUGCAAUAGAAGCAGGUUUUUUUUUAAAGAGAAACAACAACUAUGCUAUUACAUUAUAUAAAGCUUUAAGCCAAGAAGAUAAUAAUGCCCUUUGACUUAGAGGAUUAAAUAAUGAGCAUCAAAGGGGGUAAUGCUGUAGUUCCUAAAAGACUCCCAACUUAAUUGUAACACACAAGUCUCUCUCCUAAUCAAGAAGAGGUUAUUUUAAGAAGUCAGCAAAAUUUCCAGAGCACUCAUUGUGCUUUGAGCUCCUUUUUGUUGUAAAGGCCAGGUUUCUCUUUCUUGUAAGACUUAAGCCUGCAGGGUUGGGGUUGUGGCUCAGUGAUAGAGCACUUGCCUAGCACAUGUGAGGCCUGGUGUUCAAUUCUCAGCACCACAUAAAAAUAAAGGUAUUGUGCUCAUCUACAACAUAAAAAAAAGUCUCCAAUCAAGUUUGUUGAUGUUUGAAAAUUUUUGUUUUCUGUGUAAAAAAAAAAUGUGAAACCUCUGUUCAACCUAUGAAUAUGGAACAAAAUUAUGUUAUAUUAAAUAUUUGCUGUGUUACCACCCACUGAAAUCUUAGAGAAUUUCCAGACCUGGGGUCCAGAGCUUGUUUGGUGUUAGCCCCUCUGGAUUGCUGCAGCUUAAAUAAAUCUGCUUCCUCCAAAUUCCUCAGGUGUCCAGACUCACCUUUCCUACAUCAAUGCCUGCUUGAAAUGCUAGAUGUCCUAAUUCUUGAAGGGCCUGAAGAGACAUGAAGGAGUUGAACACCUGAUUGUCAAAAAGUGGUGAAUGUGGACCCAUUUCUCAGGGCAAUCAUAAAAUACCAAUGAAUUUGGAGACAGCACUCUUUCCUUCAUUGUUCUCUGCUGGGAGUGAACCACUGUUUGGAGAAUGCUCUUUGUUUGAGCCUUACUUUAUUUUUACUUUAAUAAAAAGUUAUCUUGCAUUA